Molecule: ribosomal RNA, 430 nt
Filed under: Pseudomonadota bacterium
Lineage: Bacteria; Pseudomonadati; Pseudomonadota
Description: Proteobacteria bacterium partial 16S ribosomal RNA
Rfam family: Bacterial small subunit ribosomal RNA
Source: RNAcentral
UGUGGAAUAUUGGACAAUGGGCGAAAGCCUGAUCCAGCCAUGCCGCGUGUGUGAAGAAGGCCUUUUGGUUGUAAAGCACUUUAAGCGAGGAGGAGGCUCUUCUAGUUAAUACCUAGGAUGAGUGGACGUUACUCGCAGAAUAAGCACCGGCUAACUCUGUGCCAGCAGCCGCGGUAAUACAGAGGGUGCGAGCGUUAAUCGGAUUUACUGGGCGUAAAGCGUGCGUAGGCGGCUGAUUAAGUCGGAUGUGAAAUCCCUGAGCUUAACUUAUGAAUUGCAUUCGAUACUGGUCAGCUAGAGUAUGGGAGAGGAUGGUAGAAUUCCAGGUGUAGCGGUGAAAUGCGUAGAGAUCUGGAGGAAUACCGAUGGCGAAGGCAGCCAUCUGGCCUAAUACUGACGCUGCGGUACGAAAGCAUGGGGAGCAAACAGG